This 462-nucleotide ribosomal RNA is filed under the name Hildebrandtia ornata (ornate frog). RNAcentral's name for it is "partial 12S ribosomal RNA". It matches the Rfam family "Bacterial small subunit ribosomal RNA", at positions 870 to 1523 of the family's 1533-position model. Lineage: Eukaryota; Metazoa; Chordata; Amphibia; Anura; Ptychadenidae. The record is from RNAcentral.
CGCCUGGAAAUUACGAGCUUUAGCUUGAAAUCCAAGGGACUUGACGGUGUUCUACCCUCCUAGAGGAGCCUGUCCUACAAUCGAUGAUCCCCGCUACACCCAACCAUUUCUUGCCUUAUUCAGCCUGUAUACCUCCGUCGCCAGCCCACCAUGUGAACGUUAGUGUUUUUGGCCUAAUUAUCAGCCUAAUAAAUACGUCAGGUCAAGGUGCAGCCUAUGAAAUGGAAUGAGAUGGGCUACAAUUUCUAAUUUAGAACACACGGAAACUCUAUAUGAAGUAUAGUUAUUGAAGGUGGAUUUAGUAGUAAAAAGAAAUUAGCGUGUUCUUUUUAACCAGGCGCUGGAACGUGUACAAACCGCCCGUCGCCCUCUUCGACAACAAACUAUAGUUACUAACACAAAUUGUUUAAGAGAAGAGGUAAGUCGUAACACGGUAAGUGUACUGGAAAGUGCACUUGGAUA